AGAAUUGAGCAACGGGAUCAGAAUUGAACGUGGGAGAAAACAGGAGAGGAGAGGAGUCAGCGCCCAGAGCCAGCGCGGCUCUCACUCUCAAAGGAUUCUUUUAGGAGAAAACACAACCAGCCUCCUCCCACAGCCUGCUCCUGUCCCUCCUGAAAGCUGUCGUCUUUGAAGACUACGCUGUCACCUGGUGUGGGGGAGGGGUGGCUAGGACAUGGAUACAGAUAAAGGAGACAGUCACCCCAGCUGGAGUGUAGUGGCACGAAGCUGGCUCCCUGCAGCCUCAACUGCAGGUGUGUUAUGUCACCACCAUUUGCCGAUUACCCCACCUGAAGAAGGCCCCCCGGCCCUGACCUAUUACUUUCUAUCUUAGCACCCUGUUUGUUCACUUUGUAGUACUAGUUAUGAUUCAUAAUAUUCUA
Macaca mulatta (Rhesus monkey) is the source of this 419-nucleotide non-coding RNA. Lineage: Eukaryota; Metazoa; Chordata; Mammalia; Primates; Cercopithecidae. The record is from RefSeq and is a predicted model, not a curated record.